UCCUCCCUCUGGCGGCGUGCUUAACACAUGCAAGUCGAACGGAAAGGCCCUGCUUUUGUGGGGUGCUCGAGUGGCGAACGGGUGAGUAACACGUGAGUAACCUGCCCUUGACUUUGGGAUAACUUCAGGAAACUGGGGCUAAUACCGGAUAGGAGCUCCUGCUGCAUGGUGGGGGUUGGAAAGUUUCGGCGGUUGGAGAUGGACUCGCGGCUUAUCAGCUUGUUGGUGGGGUAGUGGCUUACCAAGGCUUUGACGGGUAGCCGGCCUGAGAGGGUGACCGGCCACAUUGGGACUGGGAUACGGCCCAGACUCCUACGGGAGGCAGCAGUGGGGAAUAUUGCACAAUGGGCGGAAGCCUGAUGCAGCAACGCCGCGUGCGGGAUGACGGCCUUCGGGUUGUAAACCGCUUUCGCCUGUGACGAAGCGUGAGUGACGGUAAUGGGUAAAGAAGCACCGGCUAACUACGUG
This 468-nucleotide ribosomal RNA is filed under the name uncultured bacterium. Its description in RNAcentral is "partial 16S ribosomal RNA". It matches the Rfam family "Bacterial small subunit ribosomal RNA", at positions 36 to 507 of the family's 1533-position model. The record is from RNAcentral.